GAGGGGGCCGCAAGGUCACCGUCGUACGGGUGCGUAACGCGUAUGCAACCUACCUUCUACUGGGGGAUAGCCCGGGGAAACCCGGAUUAAUACCGCAUGACACAGCGGGGUCUCAUGGCCUUGUUGUUAAAGAUUUAUCGGUGGAAGAUGGGCAUGCGUCUGAUUAGCUAGUUGGUGCGGGUAACGGCCCACCAAGGCGACGAUCAGUAGGGGAGCUGAGAGGUUGAUCCCCCACACGGGCACUGAGAUACGGGCCCGACUCCUACGGGAGGCAGCAGUAGGGAAUAUUGGGCAAUGGAUGAGAGUCUGACCCAGCCAUGCCGCGUGCCGGAUGAAGGCCCUCAGGGUUGUAAACGGCUUUUAUCCGGGAAGAAGAGCAAGGAUGCGUCCUUGUGUGACGGUACCGGAUGAAUAAGCACCGGCUAACUCCGUGCCAGCAGCCGCGGUAAUACGGAGGGUGCAAGCGUUGUCCGGAUUUAUUGGGUUUAAAGGGUGCGUAGGUGGCUUGUUAAGUCAGUGGUGAAAGACAGCCGCUCAACGGUUGAGGUGCCAUUGAUACUGACAGGCUUGAAGCAGACAGAGGCUGCCGGAAUGGAUGGUGUAGCGGUGAAAUGCAUAGAUAUCAUCCAGAACACCGAUUGCGAAGGCAGGUGGCUAUGUCUGACUUGACACUGAG
This 676-nucleotide ribosomal RNA is filed under the name bacterium SL5.7. Its description in RNAcentral is "bacterial SSU rRNA". It matches the Rfam family "Bacterial small subunit ribosomal RNA", at positions 64 to 750 of the family's 1533-position model. The record is from RNAcentral.